ACGAAGGGCUGGAGUAGGAGUCUCUCGAUGGAGGAGUUGACAGGCCGUAUUUUGGGUUUCAAGGACGUGGAGAAGCCCGAGCGUAUUGGUAGGAGUGCUUGGGAUAAUUACUGGCUUAGCGAAGAGCAGGUCCGGUAUGCAAGCGUCGACGCUUACCUGUCUUUCUCAAUGGGAAAGGCUUUGAAUGUGUGGAAAUGGCCUGAUUUGAUGAGUUUUUGAUGGAAUGUUUUGAACAGAGCAGUUCAAACUAAAGAUUGUUAGAACUAUUUAAUCUUGGAGAGGGAACCGACAAGGUAGUGGUGUGCAUCUCGGGCUUUGAUGCACUCUGAGUCAUGUAUCAUACUCAAUAUAAUAAGUUUCAUUUUCUUGUGUUAAAACUAUCUUUUAGAAAUAUUACAGUUGUGAUCUGUCAGAAUUUGUGAUAGUUUUAGGUUUAUUGACGCUGUGCUAUGGUGCUUGUAAAAUGAUAGAAACUUUAUUUUGGAUGGA
Molecule: long non-coding RNA, 489 nt
Organism: Juglans regia (Persian walnut)
Lineage: Eukaryota; Viridiplantae; Streptophyta; Magnoliopsida; Fagales; Juglandaceae
Exons: 2
Source: RefSeq, a predicted model, not a curated record